GACGAACGCUGGCGGCGUGCUUAACACAUGCAAGUCGAACGGAAAGGCCCUGCUUUUGUGGGGUGCUCGAGUGGCGAACGGGUGAGUAACACGUGAGUAACCUGCCCUUGACUUUGGGAUAACUUCAGGAAACUGGGGCUAAUACCGGAUAGGAGCUCCUGCUGCAUGGUGGGGGUUGGAAAGUUUCGGCGGUUGGGGAUGGACUCGCGGCUUAUCAGCUUGUUGGUGGGGUAGUGGCUUACCAAGGCUUUGACGGGUAGCCGGCCUGCGAGGGUGACCGGCCACAUUGGGACUGAGAUACGGACCAGACUCCUACGGGAGGCAGCAGUGGGGAAUAUUGCACAAUGGGCGGAAGCCUGAUGCAGCAACGCCGCGUGCGGGAUGACGGCCUUCGGGUUGUAAACCGCUUUCGCCUGUGACGAAGCGUGAGUGACGGUAAUGGGUAAAGAAGCACCGGCUAACUACGUG
RNAcentral lists this ribosomal RNA (468 nucleotides) under uncultured bacterium. Its description in RNAcentral is "partial 16S ribosomal RNA". It matches the Rfam family "Bacterial small subunit ribosomal RNA", at positions 28 to 507 of the family's 1533-position model. The record is from RNAcentral.